RNAcentral lists this ribosomal RNA (497 nucleotides) under uncultured bacterium. Its description in RNAcentral is "partial 16S ribosomal RNA". It matches the Rfam family "Bacterial small subunit ribosomal RNA", at positions 28 to 507 of the family's 1533-position model. The record is from RNAcentral.
GAUGAACGCUGGCGGCGUGCCUAAUACAUGCAAGUCGAGCGAACGGACGAGAAGCUUGCUUCUCUGAUGUUAGCGGCGGACGGGUGAGUAACACGUGGAUAACCUACCUAUAAGACUGGGAUAACUUCGGGAAACCGGAGCUAAUACCGGAUAAUAUUUUGAACCGCAUGGUUCAAAAGUGAAAGACGGUCUUGCUGUCUCUUAUAGAUGGAUCUGCGCUGCAUUAGCUAGUUGGUAAGGUAACGGCUUACCAAGGCAACGAUGCAUAGCCGACCUGAGAGGGUGAUCGGCCACACUGGAACUGAGACACGGUCCAGACUCCUACGGGAGGCAGCAGUAGGGAAUCUUCCGCAAUGGGCGAAAGCCUGACGGAGCAACGCCGCGUGAGUGAUGAAGGUCUUCGGAUCGUAAAACUCUGUUAUUAGGGAAGAACAUAUGUGUAAGUAACUGUGCACAUCUUGACGGUACCUAAUCAGAAAGCCACGGCUAACUACGUG